RNAcentral lists this ribosomal RNA (197 nucleotides) under uncultured bacterium. RNAcentral describes it as "partial 16S ribosomal RNA". It matches the Rfam family "Bacterial small subunit ribosomal RNA", at positions 328 to 539 of the family's 1533-position model. The record is from RNAcentral.
ACGCUCGACACCUACGGGAGCAGCAGUGGGGAAUAUUGCACAAUGGGGGAAACCCUGAUGCAGCGACGCCGCGUGAGCGAAGAAGUAUUUCGGUAUGUAAAGCUCUAUCAGCAGGGAAGAUAAUGACGGUACCUGACUAAGAAGCUCCGGCUAAAUACGUGCCAACAGCCGCGGUAAUCUGAGCGGGCUGGCAAGGC